This is a long non-coding RNA of Herpailurus yagouaroundi (jaguarundi), 637 nucleotides long. RefSeq lists it as uncharacterized. The transcript has 3 exons. Lineage: Eukaryota; Metazoa; Chordata; Mammalia; Carnivora; Felidae. The record is from RefSeq and is a predicted model, not a curated record.
AAGAAGAGGGAAAUUUGACAUGCCCACAUAGGGGAAGGCGAAAAGAAGAUGGAACAGAAAGAAUAUUCUGGUCUUGUAGACUGGAGUGAUGCAGCCCAAUGCCAAGAAAUGCUGGCGGCCACCAGAAGCCUGAAGAGACAAGAAAUGGUUCUACCCUACAGCCUCUGGAGGGAGUGUGCCCCUGCUUCCAUCUCGAUUUUGGCUCAUUAGUGCUAAUUUUGGGUUUCUAGCCUCCAGAACAAUGAGAGUAUACAUUUCUGUGGUCUUAAACCAUGAAGUUCAAGGUGAUUUGUUAUAGAUACCACCAGAAACUAUGUAUAUAACUUCUAAGCAAGUUCUACUUAGGUAUUAAAGAUACACUUAGUGGACACCUUGCUGUCUCCUGUAGCCCUCAUCUUAAACAACAAUACAAGUGCAACAUUCCUCCAACUUUACCAUGGACAGAAAACACCUGUAUCCUUUUAAAAUGCAGAUUCUAACUUGAGCCUGGGCACUAUGAGAAGAUGCAGCCCCUCUCAGCCUGGAUCUCAGACAAAUAGAGCUCUCCCAACCUCUCCUCCCCCAUCCCCACUCUUCACAACCCCUGAAGGACAUGAGGCCCAAUCAAGGAAUAACUCUUGUUGCUUAAACCCACUGA